RNAcentral lists this long non-coding RNA (14774 nucleotides) under Homo sapiens (human). Its description in RNAcentral is "HSALNT0022459". Lineage: Eukaryota; Metazoa; Chordata; Mammalia; Primates; Hominidae. The record is from RNAcentral.
GCUUUAUAAGGCUAAGUUUCCUAGCACAAGUUCUCUUUGCCUGCUGCAAUCCAUGUAAGAUGUGACUUGUUCCUCCUUGCCUUCUGCCAUGAUUGUGAGGCCUCCACAGCCAUGCGGAACUGUUGAAAUACACACUACCUGAAGCUGGAUAACUCAUGAACUCUGUUGACAAUUAUAUUCUUUGUCUUUUUAAUUAACUCAUUUGGAGUUGGUGUCCUGAGGACCUAAGCCUAAGAAUCUUCAAGAUGGAAGAGUAGAGUGAACAAUGAAUGAGCCAGAGGGCUCUUGUCCUCUGUGUGCAGCUCUGGGCAGCCAGCAGGUGGAUAUGGGACUUGGCCUGCUGGAGGGGCCCUGGCAAGAGGAGCUGGCAGGAGCAGAUGGCAAAGGUGGAGUCUCGCACUGUCAUCCUGGCUGGAAUGCAGUGGUGCAAGCCGACUCACUGCAACCUCUGCCUCUUGGGUUCAAGUGAUUCUCCUGCUUCAGCCUCCUGAUUUGCUGGGAUUGCAGAGCAAACCAGUGAAAAAAUGGCCUUCGCACUCCUGAGAGACCUUUCACCGGGCUUUCUACUUUUGAAUUCUCUCCAUAGCUGGUUUCCUCUUAGGCCUCGAUAGAGCAGUCCCUGAAUCACACAGGUAUGCUGACUACGUCUUUUCCUGGUACAAACCAUCAUGGGGGAAACACACAGCAAGAAGCAUCUUCAGGUCACAAGAUAGACUUUGGGAAUCACCCAACUGAUGGAAAGAACCAGGAAAGGGGUCAGGAUCUGCACCUUGGCAAACUUUGAAGAACACCCAAUUUGAUGAAUGAAAACUCCUCACUUGUGCUCUGGUGGUGUUUUAGGACAAUGGGCCCCUCCUGGAUGCUCCAGUGAAGCCCCAUAUCACCUUUUUCCUUCCUGUUUGCCAUAGCUCCAGGUGACCAACUGUCAUUAACUUUGGAUGUUUUUCCUGGAGGAGGAGAAUGUGCAGGAAUGAGAAGAAAAUACCAUCAGAAUCAUGUGGACCCACAUUCAUCCCUUACUUCACCCCUUCUGGGAAGGAACCCAGCAGGCUCAAAGAUAUGGAAAAUGCCACCAGAAAAACAGUACCUGGGACAGAGGGUAGAGAUUCCUAUGGCAGGAAUGAGACUACUUUUAAUCUUUCUUCCGUCAUCUCAGCUUUUAAAUUUCUCCCUAGAGAACAUUUGGGUAGUAAGAUUCAGAGGUGCAUGUUAGGGUGUCAGGUGCACCCUGUGUCCUGGAAGUAGAUGGUACAGGCUCCUUUGUCUGGAGGCAAAGCGGGGCCAGAGUGGGCAGGGUCAGUUUCAAGGCUUUGGGAAAGCAGUGGUCUGGCAGUACUCUUCUGGCUCUUGGAAGCAGGAAUGCAAACUUGAUUCAGGCUGGGAGCAAACACCUGUUUCAUCUUUCAGGAAUAUCAGGAGUAUAGCAGCAGGUGACAGGGUACUUUGCAGAACCAGCAGAGGGGUGUCACCUCACACCCCAGGGAGCCAUAGUGUCCCAGUGUGGAGGCAGAAAGGUAGAAAGGGGUCAUUGGAGUAGCUUAGAGUAAUCUUGUGAGCUUUAGGCUUAAAUCAGCUGACUGAGCAGGGUCUUCUCUUCCACUGUUCAGGAUGAGGCUAUGCCUGGGGUCAAAAAGAAAAAGCCUCCAACUAUUUUACAUUGGCAGCUAUGAGGAUGGAAAAAAUAGUAGUGAUGGUGUUUGUUUUUUCAUUAACAGGUUAACCUGACCAUUGUGGGAAUGUCAUUAAAUAUUUUUCUAAGAUAUAAUUUUUACUGACUAAUGCUUGUGCCAUUACUUAAACCAUUACCUUAAAUUGUUUUCUAAUAUAAAUAAUUCUGAGAUGAGCACCUAUGAAUAUAUAUUUUCUCCCAUCACUGAAGUGAGAUUGCUGAAUCAAACGAUGGAAGGUUUUGAAGACUCUGGAUACAGUUUUCUAAGUUCCUUUCUAGAAAAUUGUGUUAACAAACGCUCCCAAGAGCAAGGCAGAAGAAGACUGAUAAAUUUGUUCUUGUGACUUUCUCAGGAUGUGGACUUUGGAGAAGUAAUACCUGCUGAUCCUGGACUUCUGAGAAUGGGUGUUUAUGGGAUAAGAUGGGAAGGUUUUCCAGCCUCCUUUAGGGAGGUCAUUACCUUCAAAUGAAAAAUUGAGGUCACACUAGAUAUACAUACACAUAGAAAGUACAAUGAGGAAAUGAACUUCAAGUAGGAAAUCAAGCAGGAAAUAAGUCAAUGAUGGACUAAUCUCUCAAAGUAAGUUGUUCUGGGAGCUCUGAGAGAAGGCAUAAGGGGUGUGUAUCCAGCACCUGAUGCCAAGACAAGCUUUGCUCAGAUGAAGACAACACACAGCCUUUCCACUCCUUUUGGGUUGAUUGUGUCCCAUUUCUUCAUUAUUCUUUUCUUCAUUUAACAUUAAUUGAGCACAUGGUGUCAAGCACUGUAAAACAAAAGGGGGUGCAAAAGUGAGGAGUUCUCAGUUCAGUGUGUCUUUGAGUAAAGACGGGACUAGGAGUAGAUCCCAGAUGUGCUAACAACAGUUCCAGUAUGAUACCGUAUCUCUGGAGAUCAAAGCAAUUAUCCCAGCAUAAAUUUAGGAAAGACUUCUGAGAUGAGGACACUUGAAAGCAGUGGAGGCCAAAUCAUCUUUGAUCACAAGGAGAAAAAGAGAGAGGGCAUUCCAGAAAAGCACAUGCUAAAGCAUGGAGAAGUCAAUGAGUCCCACAUGUUUGUGAUUGUGGCAACAUAGAUCAUGGUAAAGGUGGGGGCAAGAGGACAAAAAAGGUCAGAGGCACAGUGACAAGAAGUGAGGCUGUAAAAUAAGUCAGUUUCUAUUGCAAAGUCUUUGUAUUCCAUUCAAAGGGCUUCAGCCUGUCCUACAGGAAUGAGGAAGCCAGGGAAUGUCUUAAUAGAUGCCAUUUAUAUAAACCCAUAUUUCUGGUAUAACUGGUGGCAGAGGAAAUGGGCUGGAAAAGAUGAGAGCCUGGAAUGGGAAAUGACUAAAGUCAUGACAUAAAGACAUCGACAUGCAUAGAUUUUGUGGUUAAACACAUUUUUUAAACAGAGGCAGAAAGAAGAAAGUGUAUGGCAGAAAUGACCAGAGACCGCAGAUGAGCUCAUGGUGGACAGUGAUGAAGUUUGAAGCCAGGGUAGCUGUCAUUGCAGAGAAUGAAACAUGGCCAAGAACUUCCUAAAUAUUAGACUAAUGUCAUUAUUUUUUCCUUACCUAUGACAGCUGAUGAGCCAGUGUGAUCUAUGAUCUUUCUGGGUAUUUUAUUAAGUUUUCAUCACUGUGCUGCCUUUGCAAUCCACUAGCCUCAGGGAACAUUUGAGACUUGAAUUUGAAAAUGACAUUCACAAAAUUAGAUAUUCUUCAUGUGUGUGUGGUGUGUGUGUGUGUGUGUGUGUGUGUGUGUGUGUGUGUGUCCUUUUUUUUUCUUUUCCUAGCUCCAAACUGUCUUCAAAGGGUUAUAAAGAAUGGGGUCUUUGAGUCCUUUAACCUUUAGCUAUGAGAUAGCUAAUUUUUGUUCCCCAAGCAAACAUGUCAGAAAUGACUCCCUGUUUCUUUAUUAUUUGCAAAUAUAUGUUCUUUUAUUCCACCCCCUUUCCCCUUGGGAAUGAAGGGCCUCCUUGGAUGGGCCUUAGGCCCAGGCUCUCAGAAAGUUAAGAAGGCUUUGGAGGGUGUUCUGAGGGCAGAUAAAUGGACAAAAUAAUGGUGCAAGGAGACCGUGUUGGAGAAAAUUCAGUUAGGCAAGAAGCACCGAGGAGUUCGACCCGGGAGGAAGUCCAGUGAGAGCUCUGGCAAUGUGAAACCAGGAAGUGACCUUUAGUUAAUCAAGUACCGAAGAUGAGAGGGCAGACAUAAGACUCAGACAAAAAAAAAGUGAUAAAAAUCAUUCUGAAAAGGGAAAUUCUAGUUCUUUGUUCUCUCUUCUUAUCAUAUAAUUUCUCAGGCUCUCUCUGUAUCGCCGGAGGAACAUGAAAAAUUUAAUUAAUGACUCGAACAUUUUCAUGUAGGCAGAGGUUUGGUUUCCUGUAGAUAAGACAUCUGGUUAAUCAAGUGAACUUUCUCCUUUUCAUCCGUGUUAUGACACUUGUAUAUUAUGUGGCCACAUGGUAUUUACUAGCUCACUUCCAUCUCUAUAAUUUGCUUUGCUCCGUGUUAUUUGAUCUGGACCAGCAACUUUAAGACAUCAUGUCUACCUCAUCAGCUAUGUCUGCUCCCAACCAAAACCAACUGUGGGCCUCUGACACCUUCAUAUUGUUCGUAGCUUGAGACUCUAGCCCCUCCCUCUAGCCAGCCUUAUGCUUUCUUCCUGCUUUAAAUUCUUGCUUUCAACCUUGCCCACAAUUGGGAUUUUGCUGUAGGUCACACUAAGACCACAACUCAUGAUGUGCUGUUCAAUGAGCAGAGUUUCCUGUGGUCUCCCAGAUGACACUUGAGCAUGUCUCACCAUGCCAUGGAUGAUUUCCCAAAUCCAAGUCGGGGACAUUUCUAGAACCUCAUGACAUAGGCAGACCCCCUACUGCUGGCUCUUCCAAUUGUAAACAUGUAAGUCAUGCCACAACCCACUUAGCAAAUAUCUCAGUGGCCUCAGGGCUGUGCCCUUGAAUGGAUUACACUGCUCUUGGAUGUUCCAUAGGAUAAAAAAAUCACAAGAGAAAAAGAAAAAGUCUGGAGACUUGGAGAACAAAAUGCCAUAGAAACAAGUCUCUUCACAUCAGGAGCUCUAUAGCUGAAAUCUGCUUCCUUCAACUCCCAACCCAAUGCCCUAUCCUCAGCUGCCAAUCCAGCAAGAACACAUUUGUACAAAUGUGAUGUGGGCUCACUCCUUGGGUGGAACUUGCUAGAAAUCUCAAGCAGUGAACAGUUUCUGAAAGCUUAAGAAUACCCAUUUUAACUUUACCUCAAAAAGGUUAAAUGAUAGAGUAACACGGACAGAGAACAGACUCUAGGAAAUGUGCAAGAAGUAAGCUCUCUUUCUGUUUUAUUCAGAUAUGAGUUUUCAUUUCACCAGCCCCCAGUGGAUCUGAUCCAAUGACCUAGAGAUUCAUGAGGCUGAAAUUACCUUGGUGAACAACAUGAUCUUUCUAGGAUUCCAGGCAUUCCUGGUACUAAAAAUCCUCCUAAGCUAUUGACAAUUUUUUUUUAAUUGUGGGUAAAAUACACACAACAUACAACUCAACAAUUUAACUAUUUUUAAAUAUACAGUUCUGUGGCAUUAAGUAAUUUCACACUAUUGUGUGACCAUCACUGUCAUUCAUUUCCAGAACUUUUCUAUCUUCCCUCUAAUUCUCCAUUUCCUUCUCACCUCUCAGCCCCUGCCCACCAUCCUGCUUUCUGUCUCUAUCAGUUUGACUACUCUGGGUACCUCACAGAAAUGGAAUCAUAUAGAAUUUGUCCUUUUGUGACUGGUUGAUUUCACUGAUAAUUCUUAACUAUUAUAACAUUUUCCUCAGUCAACUUGUUUUUAUGUCACAUAGAUCCAGAUAUACUCUUGGUGUUACUGAGGGUCCAAACAUCCCUUUUCAACAAUGUAGUACAUCAGUAAAUAAUCAAGUAUUUAUUGAAUUCCUACUAUAUGUUUAGCCAUAAAAAAAUAAGAAUUUUGAAGAAUAGUCAUUAUCCCUCCCCUUAAGAAAAUUCUAAUUUUGUAGAUGUGGAGGCAAAGUGAAUGCAAUAAAAUAGUAGUAAACAGCAUAUAUGCACAUGUAUGCAGACAAACACACACCUAUUCACAUGUAGACAUCUGACCUCAUUACUUUUAUGUGGUCAUGAUGAUGAUACAGAAUUAUCUCUGUACAGGCGAUACAGAGAUAAUUCUAAAAAAUCUAAUCUAUCUUGGGUAAGUCCAAGAGCAUCUUGGGACACAAUACUUAGCAAAUUGGCUUUUGGGAAUUCUUUACUUGGGUCAGUGGUUUGGGGGAAACCUUUCACUUAUUUUGUAGGAGGUUAGUGGUCUCGCUGUAUUAUCCAAGUUGGUCUUAAACUCCUGGCCUCAAGCAAUCCUCCCACCUCAGCCUCCCAAAGCACUGGGAUUACAGGCAUGAACCAUCAUGCCUGGAAAAUUUUCAUUAAAAAAAAUCUAAAUAAAUAUUAACUAUCCAGGGAUUUUUUUUGAAACAAAUGGGAAGUAGGAACUUAGCUCACACAUCUCUCUCUCGAUGUGCCUAUUCACUUUAGAUAUUUCACUGAAUCCUGCUAAAAAGCAGUCAGCUAUUUGCCAUCUGUACAGAACAGCUGCAAUUUCCUUCCUAUCCAAGCACAACAUUUUAUUAUAGAGAAAUUGGCAUAUUGUUUUUGCCAUGUGCUUUUUACAUAUUCCUCCCCAUGGCUAGACUAAUCAGGGAAGAAAUAUCUUCAUGUCCCAGCUCCUAGCUAGGUCAGGUGAAUACAAGUGACAUCAUGUGUAUCCUCUUCACCAAGUUAGCAUUAAGUUGCCUUGCCAAACCCUUGAAGCUUCUUAUGUGAGACAUCUGUGCCCAAUGUUAUUUAUGAAUAGGAGCAAAAUGUAUAAAUAUCCAUGGGACUUCCUGUUAAAUGUACCACAUUGAAUGCAAAUAUUUAUCUCUGCUGCUUCUGAAACUUUAUUAAAAUGAGAGUAGAAAAAAUAGAAGGAUACAAAUCAACAAGGAGGAAGAGAACAAGAAAGAUGAUCCCACCAAAUAAGAAAUGCCAACAAAAUUUUGGAAUCUGGAAAUAGACGAAUGACUGGUAAUUAUUUAUCAGAGCCCAGAAAGAAUAUUGAGGAGGGAGGCACAAGAAAUGAGUUAAUGUCAAUUUCAGAACCCUGUAAACAUUUAGAAAUUUGGAGGCAGUAGGUACUCUGAAGUUAGAGGAAGUAUGGGGCUUAAAAUAGGAUUCGUUAAAAAAUCUGUGUAAAGAAGAGUUAGAUUUCCAAUCCUCUUUCUAUCUCUGACCACCAGUCAAUUAACCCUUCUUCACCUAGGCAGGAGAAUGGAGGCUCUUCUUCGGGGAAAUUUAACCUGGAAGGCUCUACUUGAGCACCUAGUCACGGAAGAUAGUGGGGGAAAUGCCAGGCUGGAAAUAGGGACAAUUAAGUGACAAUUAUGGUGAGCCCCCUGGUUCCCAGAAUACUCACUGCCAAUCUUAUACUCCCCCAGAAAAUGAUUAGAAGAUUGCUCCUUGUAGAAAGAGAUACAUGGGCCCAGCAUGCUUGCAGAUACUGUCUUAUUUUUAGUGACUCACUCUUGAAUAUAAAGAGAGAACCAAGAAUCAUCAGACAUGUGGAGAAAUGAUGUAACAUGAAAAGUAAUAUCAAAACAAAGAAACAAAAAAAGGAAGAAAUUGAGAAAUGCAAUGGACUGAAUGUUUAUCUCUCCCCAAAUUCAUAUGUCAAAAUCCUAACCCCAAUAUGAUGGUGUUAGGAGGCGGGGCCUUUGGGAAGUAAUUAGAUCAUGAGGGUAGAUCCUUCAUAAGUGGAAUUAGUGCCCUUAUAAAAGAAACCCCAGAGAGCUCUCUCCUCCUUUUUCUGCUAUGUGAGGAUACAAGAAGAUGGCAUUCUCCAACCCAGAAGAGGGUUCUUGCCAGAACCUGGCCAUGCUGACAGAUUGAUCUAGGACUUUCACCUCCAGAACUAUGAGAAAUUAAUUUCUGUUGUUUGUAAGCCACUUAGUGUAUGCUACUUUGCUAUAGCAGCCUGAACAAAGACAGAAAGAAACUAAGAAGAUGAAAGACAGGAAUAAAAUCUCAUGAAAUUAUGAAAUUAUGGGUCUCAGAGUUAAAAGAUAGUGUAUUAAUGAAGAAAGAGAUGCUAUAAAAAACAGAGAAUAUGAUAUAGAGAAGAUAAGAACAUGAAAAAUUCUAUACCGUACAUUCAAGAGAGCAGUUGAAAGAUUAUGCUAAUAAAAGCAUACCAGAAAGCGGAAGAAAAAGAAAAAUAGAAGAGAAAAAGCAGAAAAUUUAACUAAUAGGAGUUCCAGAAAGAGAGAACAGAGAAGGCAGAGGGGAGUUAAUUAUCAAAGAAACACACACACACAGAAAUUUCAUGAGAUUGAAAGGCUUUGCCAAGAACUCUGACAUAAGAAGCACACCUGUUUUUUGAUUAAGUACAUAUUAUCAGCUUUAAGACAACAGUCAGUAGAUAAGUAAUUGCUUUGCAAUGGAAAAAAUAUCACUUUAGGCUAACGCCUGUUGAACCAACUACACUACUCCAGAGGCUGAGACAAGACGAUUGCUUGAGUCCAGGAGUUCGAGGCUACAGUUAGCCAUGAAAGUGCCACUGCACUCUAGCUGGGUGACACAGUAAGACCCUAUCUCUAAAUAAAUAAAAAUAAAUCACUUGGUUUUUCUUAACUAGAUUAUGAAACUCUGUGUCUGGAAGCUGUGGAGUUAGGGGCUCAGAAGAUAGGACAAUGUUCUUCAUUCAUUGCCUUCAUCUAUAUCAAACAUUUCCUAUUCUCUCUUUCUUCUCACAUUGAGCCCCACCUUCAUCCUAACUAAUCCAAUCAUUGUAUCUGAAGAACUAUGUUUCUUACCAGUCGUGAUAAAAAACAAUGCUCCACAAGUUUAAAACAAAGACAACAUGUGAUUGGAAAAAAUGAUGAAUUUCUUUUUCUUCCUCUUUGUUUUGUUUUCAUAGAUUACUAUUAAUAUAGAAAGCAAGGCUGGGCACCAUGGUUUAUGCCUAUAAUCCCAACACUUUGAGAGGCCAAGGCAGGCAGAUCGCUUGAGCCUAAGAGUUCGAGACCAGCCUGAGCAACAUGGCGAAACUCAGUGUCUACAAAAAAUUAGCUGGGCAUGGUGGCACGCACCAGUAGUCCCAGCUACUUGGGAGGUUGAGGUGGGAGGAUCACCUGAGCCUAGGAGGUUGAGGCUUCAAUGAACCAUGAUCUCACAGAGUGCAGCCUGGGUGACAAAGCAGGACUUUGUCUCAAAAAAAACAUAUAUAUAUAUAUAUAUAUAUAUAUAAACUAUAUUUUAAUGUUACGAGCAAAUAAUGUGCAUUCUUUUUACCCUAGGGAUAUAAAAAAGUGUAAAAUAAGAGAAGCGAGUGAUUAGCCAAGGGGAGUAGGUUUGUGUACAUUUUUCAAGAUAAAUGGAAUGCUGGUACACUAAAUAGUAUCUACAAACUAUUGUAAACUGAAAUGUUUAUAGUAUAAUUUGUAAGAUUAAGCAAACAUUAGUUGAAUACAAAAAUAGCAAACAACAAUUAGAACUGCUUUGAGAAAUCUACUGCCAAUAAAGCUUUUUUUUUUAAGUCUGUGGAAUGGCAGAUUGAUAAUGGUUUUAUUUAGUGAGGACAUAUCAACCAUGCUAUGCCAUUUUCCUUAGAAAAACCCAUAUCUGCUGAAGCUUAUUAACUCAUUCAAUCAUUGUGUAUCACCUAAUAAUAGACAAACUGAUUUGAAAGAAACUUGAUGUAAUUAUGGCAAUUUUUCUAGAUCAAAAAAUAGAAAAAAUCGGCGGGGCACGGUGUCUCACACCUGUAAUCCCAGCACUUUGGGAGACUGAGGCAGGAGGAUCACUUGAGGCCAGGAGUUCGUGAACAGCCUGGCUGACAUGGUGAAACCCCGUCUCUACUAAAAAUACAAAAAUUAGCCAGAUGUGGUGGCACGUGCCUGUAAUCUCAGCUACUCUGGAGGCUGAGGUAGGAAAAUCACUUGAACACGGGAGGCGGAGGCUGCAGUGAGCUGAGAUUGUGCCACUGUAUUCCAACCUGUCAAAAAAAAAAAAAAAACCCAAAAGAAAUAGUCACUUAAUGACACUUUACAUGUCUAAUAAACAAUAAGACUUAGCUAAUAUUGCAGACACAUUUCUUUAAAUCUAAAGCACUAAAUGGAAUCACCACUGUAUUGUUUGAGUAUAUCAAUAGAUCAUUAAAAAACUGCUGGUAUGCACAUUUGGCCUUUAUCAUUGAAGAUCAAUAAAACCGCUGAAAUGGCUUUCUUUCUUCUUUUUUUUGACCUUUUUAGCCAGACUGUAAUUGGGCUUGUCACCUGACUCUCAGGUGAAAAUAAUCAUAAAUCAGAUUCAUCAAAUAAUGUUAAAGAAUAGCUCACACCAACAGAGCUAGGAAAACCAGUCCCUGCCAGUCACCAUCCAGCUCCUUGGGAAUUUGAGGGCUGGUUAUCUCAGAGAUGUUAUAUCAACUAUUCUUUGCUUUUGUCCCCCAUGGAGCCAGACCCGAUAAUGCUUUGAAAGAAGUGCAGAGAACACAGAAAAGAGUCAGUAGAAAGGAGAUUACAGGGUGAGGGGAAAAGAAUACAAGCAGCUUGUGUCUGUUAAAACAAAUCACCCAAGUGAGUCAUCUCUCCUGAAUCACUUCUCCCUUCUGGGAUGAGGCUCUGUGAGUACCUGGCUCCAGAACCCAGAGAGGAUUUACAGCCAGGCAAAUACUAACUGAGGCUAUGUUGGAACCUGUGUCACCCAAUCUCCUAAUUACAGGUGUCUGUGGUUAAAAUUUGGAGCUCACCAAUUUGGAAGAUGUUAUGAGUCUAAGUUCUGUAAUAGCUGAGUCAGGUUUGAUACCAGGCAGCCCUACCACCUAAACACAUUAUAUUCUGAAUUCAAAUGGACCCCAUUUACUUUCCCCAUGCCAACACCUUUUCCCCAGCCCCACCCUACUGCUACCUCCUGAUGACUUCUGUCUUCUCUUCCUGCCCUCUAUUUGGCCUAGUGAAGGGAGCAUAGGUCUGUAUACAUUGUUAGCAUUCCUUUAAGAAGCAAAUCCUGAAAACAAGAAGAAAUAAAGGGGUAUGUCUAUUUUCUUUAAACAUUUGGAUUGAGUAAAAGGGAAGCAAAGUUCUUAAGUUAUUAUAAACUUAAAAUAUUUGAACUCUGUGCUGGAUGCUUUACUUUUACAAUAUAUUUAAUUAAAACAACCAUACUUCAUAGCACGAAUGCUAGCCCGGAAAACUGAGACUAAGGUAGGUUGAGCUGUGGCCCAAAGUCACAAAGCCCACUUGUGAGUGAGAAGGAAAUUGUGAAUCCAGGUCUGCCUGCCUGAAAAGCUGGCCCACACAAUCCCAGACUCUGAGCUUUAACAAACAUGUGGCUGAUGAGAGCCAUGAGGACAAAUUGCGUGGCUAUUAUUAUGCACUGUGCACAAUAAAUGAGGUAAUGCAUUUGAAAGGGCUGUGUAACUAUAAAGUACUCUACAAAUGUUAUUACCAUUAUUAUGGUUAUAUUUAUUACCUUCUUUGCUGGGGGUGAGACUGCACACAUUAUAGAAUAGAUGACUAUUCUGAAUCACCAGUCCCCAGUGACGCACAGUUAAGGUUGUGGUGAGCCACCUCUCAGCAGAACAGAGAUACACUCCACAGUGCACAGUACAAUUUCUUGAAGGUAAGUGUGAGCUUUGUGUAAAUCAGCGGUCCUCAACCUUUUUUGCACCAGGAACCAGUUUUGUGGCAGACAAUUUUUCCCUGGUGGGGCUGGUGAGGGAUGGUUUUGGAUGAAACUGUUUUCACCUCAGAUCAUCAGUCACUAGUUAGACUCUCUUAAGGAGUGUGCAACCUAGAUCCCUCACGUGUGCAGUUCAUAAUAGGGUCCAUGCUCCUAUGAGAAUCUAAUGCCUCCACUGAUCUGACAAGAGGCAGAGCUCAGGCAGUAAUGCUCUUGCUAGCCCGCAGUUCACCUCCUGGUGUGCAGCUGGGUUCCUAACAGACCACAGACAGGUACUAGUCCACUAGCCUGGUGGUUGGGAACCCCGAUGUAAACCACAAUACUUAUCUUUAUCUCUUGCAUCUUUGAUUUUCUCUUCUGUCUCUUAGUUACAGGAGGGCCAGUGAAUUUGAUUCAUAGUCUAGAGUAAUUCAUCAGCUUGAGGGCUGAGUGCCAUCAAAGUAUAUGAUAGUUUAUGGUAAAAUAUUAUUUUAAAAGUUUAAUAUUUUUAAUCUAAAAGCAGCUUUUAAGUAUCAUUAAGAAAAAUGAAACCAUCUUAAUAGAUAUAUGAUUGGAUAAAUCAGUGUGGUGCUAUAUACUAUGAAAUGCAUAUGUGCAGACACCAAAAAUUAUUCAGGAUUUAUUGACAAGUGGAAAAAAUCUAAUUGCAAAAUUAAAAGUGUAGUAUGAUUUUGUUAUCAUACUUUACGAAUGUGAGUCUACAAAUAUGUUAAAAAAGGUGACUGGAAAGAUGCACAGCACAUUUUUAGGUAUGGUUACCUUAGGAAGGGAGUAGAAAUACAGGGAGAGAAAAGAAAUACAACCUUUUCACUAUAUUUCUGUAUGUUUGAGUCAUGCACAAGAUCAAUAAGUGUAUUAUUUGUAAAAUAAAAUAGCAGUGAAUUAAGUCGUACUGUGAUUAGUUUUCAAAAAUCUAAUUAAAAUAGGUGCUGUUUUAUUGUGAAAAUUGGCAAAAUAUUUGCAAACAGAAGGAACUAUAUUAUAAAAGAAACAAUUUUGUUUAAAAAGUCCAUAACUGGAUGUGAGAUUUUAUAAUAAAAAUUUCCAAGCACCUAGCUUGAAUGAAUAAACAAAUAAAUAAAUAAAUAAAAUGCUUGAAGGCAGAUUAUAAUGAAAUUUCAAAUUAACACCACCAAUAAAGGGAAAAUUCUAAAGCUUUCAGAGAGAGAAAAAGAAAAGGAUAACACAUGUGAAACCUGGAAUUAAAAUGGCAUUGAACUACUUAAAGCAACACUAGAAGUUAAAAGACAGUGCAGCAAUAUCUUCAAAGUUCUAAAGGAUUUCAACCUAAAAUAUUAUACCCAGCCAAAGUAUACAUCAACUGUGAUGGUGAUGGAAAAAUAAAGACAUUUUUAAGACGUGCCAAGCCUCAAAAUUCUACUUCUCAUUCUCCUUUCUUCAUGAAGCUUUUGAAGAAUGUGCUUCAUUUAAUGAAAGAGUGAACCAAAAGAGAGCAGGGCAUGACAACUGGAAAAAUAGGGGACACAGAACACAAGAGAGGUGAGGAGACUAUCCAAGAUUAUUGCAAUCAUAAGUAUCUGGACAAUAGACGUAACCUGGUCCAGAAAGCAACUGGUGAAACUAGAACAGGAUAAUAAAAGGGCUCCAAGAAGGAUGUCUUUAUUAAAGUAAAAUGUUGCAUAUGCAAAAAAUUAAAUUUAAUCAUAGCAUGCUACUUGUCUCAGCAGUAAAGAAUAUUUUUAUAAUCAUGGUGCCAGUGUUGAUUUUACCAAAAAUUAUAAUUUUAUUCUGGUGAGAGAAUUGUGAGAGGGUAUAUGGAAGUUGUUGGGAUAGGCAUGCUAAAUCCUCAUCCCCCAUCAUAUGAAGUCACUAACUUUGGUGACAAAACUGACAAAAAUGAGAGUAAGUAUAUAAGCACAUAAUUUUGAAAUAUGGAAGCAAAGAGAUAAACAAAGAGUUAAAAAAUAUCUGUCAUUAGAAGUUGGGCCCUGAAGAAAAGAAGGAAGGGCAAGUAUUUCCUGUCUUAUCUCAAGAGUUUUGUAGCUAUCUUUUAACUUUUAAAAUAUGUACUAGCAUUAGUUUGGUAAAAAUAAAUGUUUAAAAUCAACUAGAAUUACAAACAAACAAAGAUGUCUAACAAUGAACUUUAUCUCUUUGAAUACAAUAGGAUAUUAAAUCAUCUUUUAAAAAAUCAGUGUUUAAAUCAUUUUUAAUGACAAAAAAUCCUCAUGAGAAUAUAAAUUUUUAAAAAUUGGGGUACAAAAUAUAUUUGGCACGUAAUCCUAUGCUAAAAAAACUAGAAAGAAAUGCAUAUAUAAGCUGUUAUUAGCUCUUGGGAUGGAAUUAUAAGUGGUUAUUAUUUUAUUUUCUAUACUUUUCUAUAUUUCUAAGUUUUUACACAGUAAAUAUAUAUUACUUUUAUGAAAGAAAAAGAGUUAACUAUUUGUUUUAAGCACAUGGUGUUUCAUCAUCAAGAAAAUGCCUCUUCUUCUAUAAUUCUGCCAAGGACCAAACUAAAGAAAUUAGUUUAAAGUGCAGGAGGGGAGAUUCCAAUUAAGUACAUGUAUACAAGUGUGUUAUUAAAUUGUGAAACUGACUACCUGGGGAAGUCACACAAAAUAUUUUAAGUCAAGAUUAACCACCAUCUUGGAAUAUUAGUACUUGAAGGAAACACCAAGAUGACCAAUUCCAAGGCAAUUCUCCACAGAUGAGAAAAUUGAACCUUGAAGAGUUUAGAUAGCUGGCCUAAGGUCAUAAAGCUAUUAAGAGGAAGAGGCAUGGUUGGAAUGCCAGUCUCUUAAUAGCUUUGUGACCAGUGCCAUGUUUUUCCCACUCUUAUGAUGUGUCUGAACUCCAUAAAGUGCUCAACAUAAUUUAAAGGUCUGGGAUGGAUUUACAUAAACCCCAGUUCCUCAGGUCUGUUUCUUCUCUUGUUUCUACCCUAGUUCUUUUUAUUCUUUCUCUUAUGGCCUCUCUACAGAAUAUUAUAAAAUAAAAACAUAAGAUAUCAUCUAAGGUGUGCAUAUUUGCCUUAUUGUAUACCUAUGUUUUGCAGAAAUAUAUCUUCUCUUUGGUUAACAUCUUUCCCAAACAACCACUGCAAGCCUCUGCAAGCAGAUGGUCCUCAGCAAAUACAGUUGACCAAGGUUCUCUUUAUAUGUACAUCUCAUGCUUCUUUGAAAAAUCAAAUUCAACUAAGCCAGUUUUAAUUUUGUUUUGCUUUAUUCUGUUUAGAUAACUACAUUUAAGCAAAAUUUAUACUGAGGUGUUUUCUAUGUAACCUGUUAUUUUGGUGGAACACAAUCAGGUUUUUAGGUUUGGAAACUGGCUUGGGUUUGGAAAAGAAUGUUAAAACUGGUGACUGAUAAAAUGACAUUUGAUCCAACCAAUGGUUGGGAGAAUUCAUGAACAAAGUGCCACAUAAAUGAAUUUUCUUGAUUUCAAUCCAUUAG